GAACGCACAUUGCGCCCCUUGGUAUUCCGAGGGGCAUACCUAUUCGAGCGUCAUUAUCACCCCUCAAGCCUAGCUUGGUGUUGAGGCCUGCUGUUAAGGCAGCCUCUAAAAUCAGUGGCAGUGCUGUCAGGCUCUAAGCGUAGUAAAUUCAUCGCUAUAGGGUCCUGGUGGAUACUCGCCAAAACCCCCCCAUUUUUUAAUGAUCGACCUCGGAUUAGGUAGGGAUACCCGCUGAACUUAAG
RNAcentral lists this unclassified non-coding RNA (242 nucleotides) under uncultured Helotiales. RNAcentral's name for it is "sequence contains 5.8S rRNA gene". Lineage: Eukaryota; Fungi; Ascomycota; Leotiomycetes; Helotiales. The record is from RNAcentral.